GGUGCUAACGUCCGGACUCAAGAGGGAAACAACCCAGACCGCCGGCUAAGGUCCCUAAUAUUGACUAAGUGGAAAACGAAGUGGAAAGGCUAAGACAGUCAGGAAGUUGGCUUAGAAGCAGCCAUCCUUCAAAGAAAGCGUAAUAGCUCACUGAUCGAGUCUUUCUGCGCGGAAGAUGUAACGGGGCUAAGUCAAUAACCGAAGCCGCGGAUUCACACUUGUGUGUGAGUGGUAGGGGAGCGUUCUGUAAGCCUGCGAAGGUGACUCGUAAGGGUUGCUGGAGGUAUCAGAAGUGCGAAUGCUGACAUGAGUAACGUUAAAGCGGGUGAAAAGCCCGCUCGCCGUAAGCCCAAGGUUUCCUGCUCUACGUUCAUCGGAGCAGGGUGAGUCGGCCCCUAAGGUGAGGCUGAGAAGCGUAACUGAUGGGAACAAGGUUAAUAUUCCUUGACCACCGCUGAAUGCGAAGGGGGGACGGAGUAUUGAAGAUCAUCCGGGUGUUGGAUAUCCCGGUUUGCGAGCGUAGGAGGCUGACAGGCAAAUCCGUCAGCGAAUCUCCGAGGCAAAGCAUCGAGCUCUCUUUUGAGCGAAGUGAUUGGAUGUGCUUCCAGGAAAAGCCUCUAAGCUCCAGUUCAGCGGGACCGUACCGCAAACCGACACUGGUGGGCGAGCUGAAUAUGCUCAGGCGCUUGAGAGAACUCAGGAGAAGGAACUCGGCAAAUUGACACCGUAACUUCGGGAUAAGGUGUGCCUUUGUAGCGUGGAGGGAGAAACACCCCGAGCGCGAAGAGGUCUCAGAUAAUCGGUGGCUGCGACUGUUUAUUAAAAACACAGCACUCUGCAAAGACGAAAGUCGACGUAUAGGGUGUGAUGCCUGCCCGGUGCUGGAAGAUUAAUUGAUGGGGUGCAAGCUCCUGAUCGAAGUCCCAGUAAACGGCGGCCGUAACUAUAACGGUCCUAAGGUAGCGAAAUUCCUUGUCGGGCAAGUUCCGACCUGCACGAAUGGCAUAACGAUGGCCACACUGUCUCCUCCUGAGACUCAGUGAAGUUGAAGUGUUUGUGAUGAUGCAAUCUCCCCGCGGCUAGACGGAAAGACCCCAUGAACCUUUACUGUAGCUUUGCAUUGGACUUUGAACCGAUCUGUGUAGGAUAGGCGGGAGCCUGUGAAACCACAACGCCAGUUGUGGCGGAGGCGUCCUUGAAAUACCGCCCUGAUUUGUUUGAGGUUCUAACCUGGGACAGUCAUCCUGUCCGGGGACCGUGCAUGGUAGGCAGUUUGACUGGGGCGGUCUCCUCCUAAAGGGUAACGGAGGAGUGCGAAGGUACGCUAGGUACGGUCGGAAAUCGUGCUGAUAGUGCAAUGGCAAAAGCGUGCUUGACUGCGAGACCCACAAGUCGAGCAGAUACGAAAGUAGGUCAUAGUGAUCCGGUGGCUCUGUAUGGAAGGGCCAUCGCUCAACGGAUAAAAGGUACUCUGGGGAUAACAGGCUGAUACCGCCCAAGAGUUCAUAUCGACGGCGGUGUUUGGCACCUCGAUGUCGGCUCAUCUCAUCCUGGGGCUGUAGCCGGUCCCAAGGGUAUGGCUGUUCGCCAUUUAAAGAGGUACGUGAGCUGGGUUUAAAACGUCGUGAGACAGUUUUGUCCCUAUCUUCCGUGGGCGCUGCAGAUUUGAGGAAGCCUGCUCCUAGUACGAGAGGACCGGAGUGGACACACCUCUGGUGUACCUGUUGUCACGCCAGUGGCAUCGCAGGGUAGCUACGUGUGGAAGAGAUAACCGCUGAAAGCAUCUAAGCGGGAAACUCGUUUCAAGAUGAGAUCUGCCGGGGCCUUCGAGCCCCCUGAAGGGUCGUUGU
RNAcentral lists this ribosomal RNA (1850 nucleotides) under metagenome. RNAcentral describes it as "bacterial LSU rRNA". It matches the Rfam family "Bacterial large subunit ribosomal RNA", at positions 994 to 2841 of the family's 2925-position model. The record is from RNAcentral.